GGUAUUCCUUAUCUAUCUAAUCGUUGAUUAAUCUGGAACCUGUCCCAUUGAAUUCUCGCCAGAGAAUGCAAUAAGACAGGUUCUGCGUUUAGUUGCCGCGCUCUAAAA
This 108-nucleotide small RNA is filed under the name Klebsiella grimontii. RNAcentral describes it as "tp2". It matches the Rfam family "tp2". The record is from RNAcentral. Lineage: Bacteria; Pseudomonadati; Pseudomonadota; Gammaproteobacteria; Enterobacterales; Enterobacteriaceae.